This 355-nucleotide ribosomal RNA is filed under the name uncultured bacterium. Its description in RNAcentral is "bacterial SSU rRNA". It matches the Rfam family "Bacterial small subunit ribosomal RNA", at positions 9 to 355 of the family's 1533-position model. The record is from RNAcentral.
GAGUUUGAUCCUGGCUCAGGAUGAACGCUGGCGGCGUGCUUAACACAUGCAAGUCGAACGAAGCACUCGAAUGGAAUUCUUCGGAAGGAAGCUCAAGCGACUGAGUGGCGGACGGGUGAGUAACGCGUGGGUAACCUGCCUCAUACAGGGGGAUAACAGUUAGAAAUGACUGCUAAUACCGCAUAAGCACACGUGAUCGCAUGAUCGAGUGUGAAAACUCCGGUGGUAUGAGAUGGACCCGCGUCUGAUUAGCUGGUGUGGGUAACGCCACAAGCGACGAUCAGUAGCCGGCCUGAGAGGGUGAACGGCCACAUUGGGACUGAGACACGGCCCAAACUCCUACGGGAGCAGCAGU